UGUAUUACCCUUUCAGGGACUGGUCUUGC
RNAcentral lists this non-coding RNA (29 nucleotides) under Mus musculus (house mouse). The record is from RNAcentral. Lineage: Eukaryota; Metazoa; Chordata; Mammalia; Rodentia; Muridae.